RNAcentral lists this ribosomal RNA (468 nucleotides) under uncultured bacterium. RNAcentral describes it as "partial 16S ribosomal RNA". It matches the Rfam family "Bacterial small subunit ribosomal RNA", at positions 28 to 507 of the family's 1533-position model. The record is from RNAcentral.
GACGAACGCUGGCGGCGUGCUUAACACAUGCAAGUCGAACGGAAAGGCCCUGCUUUUGUGGGGUGCUCGAGUGGCGAACGGGUGAGUAACACGUGAGUAACCUGCCCUUGACUUUGGGAUAACUUCAGGAAACUGAGGCUAAUACCGGAUAGGAGCUCCUGCUGCAUGGUGGGGGUUGGAAGGUUUCGGCGGUUGGGGAUGGACUCGCGGCUUAUCAGCUUGUUGGUGGGGUAGUGGCUUACCAAGGCUUUGACGGGUAGCCGGCCUGAGAGGGUGACCGGCCACAUUGGGACUGAGAUACGGCCCAGACUCCUACGGGAGGCAGCAGUGGGGAAUAUUGCACAAUGGGCGGAAGCCUGAUGCAGCAACGCCGCGUGCGGGAUGACGGCCUUCGGGUUGUAAACCGCUUUCGCCUGUGACGAAGCGUGAGUGACGGUAAUGGGUAAAGAAGCACCGGCUAACUACGUG